UGGUGGAGUGAUUCGUCUGGUUAAUUCCGAUAACGAACGAGACUCUGUCCUGCUAACUAGGUUGUGUUUUCUCAGGUUGGUGUUCUGGUGUUCCUUCUCGGGGCGCCGGCCCAAUCCACUUGUGAACACAACACUCUUCUUAGAGGGACUGGCGGCUGUUAGCCGCACGAGAUAGAGCAAUAACA
This 185-nucleotide ribosomal RNA is filed under the name uncultured eukaryote. RNAcentral describes it as "partial 18S ribosomal RNA". It matches the Rfam family "Eukaryotic small subunit ribosomal RNA", at positions 1299 to 1458 of the family's 1831-position model. The record is from RNAcentral.